GUUAUUCCAGCCUUGCCUGGGACACUGUCUCCUUUUUGUUUGUAGAGGUACAGUUACCCACCUGCACUGAGUAGUCUGAGUAGGCAGGCAGGGGCUGGUUGUGCUGCCCUUGCGCUGGCCAGGAUCGCACAUCUCUGCCUUGAAGAUGGUUGCUCAACCUCCGUGGAGUCUGUGCCGUAAAACAGGAAUAGCCUUGGAGCAGCUGUGGCUUUUCACCUGUGUGCUUUCCUCUCCUCCUCCUCCUCCCCCCACCAGGAGUAAGUGAAGGACGGGUUGCAUGUGAAUCACCUCUGCGCCUACCUAACUUCUCCUGUCCCAGCAGCAAAAGACAGAGAAGGCCCCUGUCCUGACAGGCAGAAAGGUUAGCUAAAUCAGAGGAUAUACUGAAGAUGUUGCU
This 397-nucleotide long non-coding RNA is filed under the name Gallus gallus (chicken). Its description in RNAcentral is "long non-coding RNA NONGGAT004125". Lineage: Eukaryota; Metazoa; Chordata; Aves; Galliformes; Phasianidae. The record is from RNAcentral.